GUGCUCGCUUCGGCAGCACAUAUACUAAAAUUGGAACGAUACAGAGAAGGUUCUUGGCAGGGAUACUGGAGUAGCUUGCCGGUUCCUGCUCCAGGUAGAUCAUGUUUGGUCAAAACUCUCCACUAUGAC
Molecule: non-coding RNA, 129 nt
Organism: Podarcis lilfordi (Lilford's wall lizard)
Lineage: Eukaryota; Metazoa; Chordata; Lepidosauria; Squamata; Lacertidae
Source: the annotation of a GenBank genome assembly